UGGCUCUUCAACUUUGUCCUUGUUUGGCUUUAUAAAUAUUUUGAUAUGAGCGUCACCAAUGAGUCUUAUGAAGACGAAACACGCGUCUGGCAUACUAAAUUAUAAUCCUGGUACCUUUGAUAACUAUUUACAACAGCUAGUCCUGAAUGUUGAUUUUCCUCAUGUAUUGUGAAAUUUGUGAUUAUCUAAUCUCUUUUAAAACCGACCUGACUGUUCUU
This 218-nucleotide long non-coding RNA is filed under the name Mytilus galloprovincialis (Mediterranean mussel). Lineage: Eukaryota; Metazoa; Mollusca; Bivalvia; Mytilida; Mytilidae. The record is from RNAcentral.